AUCCGUCGAUUUUUGAAAUCGUGAGGGUUCAAGUC
This 35-nucleotide transfer RNA is filed under the name Codonopsis kawakamii. RNAcentral describes it as "partial tRNA-Leu". Lineage: Eukaryota; Viridiplantae; Streptophyta; Magnoliopsida; Asterales; Campanulaceae. The record is from RNAcentral.